RNAcentral lists this small RNA (161 nucleotides) under Arabidopsis thaliana (thale cress). Its description in RNAcentral is "ATSL268680". Lineage: Eukaryota; Viridiplantae; Streptophyta; Magnoliopsida; Brassicales; Brassicaceae. The record is from RNAcentral.
AACACUCAUACGGACUUCGUCAACACCAUCAAAACUUUGAGAAGCAAGAAGAAGCUUGGUUAGUGUUUUGGAGUCGAAAAUUACUUGUUGUGAUGUGUAUGAUUGAGUAUAAGAACAUAAACCGCAACUGGAGCUUAAAAGCCUAAGUAUUGUUUCCUUGA